Orcinus orca (killer whale) is the source of this 14049-nucleotide long non-coding RNA. RefSeq lists it as uncharacterized. The record is from RefSeq and is a predicted model, not a curated record. NCBI's taxonomy places the organism in Eukaryota, Metazoa, Chordata, Mammalia, Artiodactyla, Delphinidae. The transcript is spliced from 2 exons.
UAUUUUCUGCAUCCCAUUAUUUUUGCUUAAUUUUCACUUGCGUCUUUGAUUUUAUUAUUUCAGUACUGAUCCACUUUGUAUAUUUUGCUCUCUUACUGCUAUCAACAGUCUCUCUGAUUAUGUACAGUUUUAUUUUCUUCCACAUCCUGAUUUUUUUGUCUGCCAUUUUCAAUUCUCUUUAAUGGACUCCUCCAGUGGCCAUUGCUCACAGAUUAUGAAGUUUUUAUGAGUGGAAAGAAUUAAAAGGUUUAAAACCAUUCUCAGGAUAGGUUUUAUAGUUGGGAUUCUGGUAAUGAAGGGACAAAGAACAAAUAAAGAAAUAGGAUAACUGUCUACAGAGGCUGAUGGUUCUAUUUCUCAUUGAUAGACCAAUAGAUUGAAAACAAUUGUAUAAGGUAUAUAGAAGGAAAUGCCUUCAUAAAAUCAUGUAACUUGACAAUAAUUUAGAAUGGAGGUAUAAUAAAGCCACACAUCCUCAAUUUCCUUAUUUAUAAACUUUGUUCCAUCAGUGUUUUUCUCCAUGCACUAUUCCAUCAGUGGCAUAGCUACUUCCUGAGUUAGAAAACCAUAAUGGAUCUCUAUAUCAUACAGAGUUUGGAGGACUUAUUCAUUUUUCCUGCAAAAGUUAAAGUGCAAAACUUUCAGCCCAUCAAUCCUUUAGCAAGCUGUCCAAGGUGACAUUUCAUUAGCACAUUUUGUCAGUGGAUAAAUCGUACAGCAUGCUCUGAAGGGAAGGUGGAAAACAUCUAGUCCUUUUUCAUUAGAUCCAUCUGAACUUCAACCACUGGAGAUUACAUACAAAAAGCAUGUGAGACAGAAGCAGCGCUAUCCUGUCUAUAAACUGCAUUAAUCAUUCAUCCCCUACAGAGUGUCUUAAGUCAGUGCCAUGUCUCUGGUUAGGCCCCAAACUGGCUAUUCAAUUUUGAGCUGCAUGACAGAUACAUUUCAAGGAAAAUCAGAAACAUAACGACUCCUGCCAGGCUUGAUAAAGUCCUCAUUCAUCAAUUAAGAGGUUCCAAUAAGCUCAGAUGGAUAUGGAAAAAUAAGGAAACUUGCAUGAUAACACUUGAUGAUUUUCUCUAUUCUUUCUCAAUUUGCUGAAUUCCUGGGAAUAAGGAUCACAAAGGCUUACUGAAAAACCUGGAUUUAGAAGGACAUCCUACCAUCUGAAGCAAGAGGGUUCCUUUCAUAUUCUGCCUAGAUCAGGCUCUAUCCAGAAGCAAUUGAUAAGGAAAAGUUUUAUGGGCAACUUCAUAAUUCUCAGUCGUUUUAAUUCACUUAAAGUUCUCACUCUCUUUUUUUUGUUUCUUGUAAGCAUGAAAGUCUGUGGAAAUAGGAGUUUACCCUUUACUCUCAUGAUUUCAAUUUUGUUGGAUCAAAUCAGAAUGCUAGGAAUCUUUCCCAGUUUUAAAUAGCUAUAGGGUCGAAAUGUUUCUGAAACAUAUGCUCAGAUAUAAAUUUUUGUUCUAUAAUUCCAUCCAGGGAAUAUUUCAAACCAAGAGUUUUUUGUGUGUAUAAAGUGGGGAGAAUAUAUCUUUAUAAAAUGUACAGCAUUUUCAUUAGGCAAAUUAUCAAAGUGAAUGAAAACUGAUUAUAAAUGGAAGCUGUACCAGAAAACUAAUAAGCAUGAUAUCUGGUCAACCCCUAAGUGUAUUGUGAGAAGUAGCCAGGACCACUAAAAAAUAUCCAAUAUCACUGAGGUCAGAAUUUUUAGAAGCUAAUGCUAAUCAAUGAGAACUUCGAGAAAAGAAAAUAUAAUUUGUAUUGCUUGCUUAUAUGAACCCAUAGAGCUAGUCAAUCAACAGAUAUAUCUAAGAUCUCAUUGUGCCAAAGGUAACAUUUGGCAUUGUUGUGAGACUGCAUCAUGAUUAAACUUUAUUUCAAAUUACUUCAAAGUGCUUUGUUUCCAAUAAACAAAUGGUUUUCAAACUGUGCUCCUAAGAGCGUCAUGUAGCUAUUCCUCAGGUGUUUCUAGAGCAAAGAGGGCAGAUUGGAGCUCGGGUGGGGUUUGUGGGGAGCCUUCUAACAUCAACUGAAACAAACGUACUGCUACAUAUAGGACACUUCCUACUAAGGUUUCCUUCGGACAAAAAUUCUGCAUCUGAGAACCAUUAGAAAACCACUGUAAUAAUUAAAAUUGAGGAUAUCGUUUUUCUUUUACUGCCACAAGACACAAUUUAUUUUAAAAACACAAGCAGAAAUUUCCAUAUCUGAAUCUAAGCCAACCACUGGCUCAGAAAAUUUGGAUGAAAUAUCUUUAUUGCAUUGAUGGAAUUACUGAAAUUGGUUUGAUGAUCAGUAGCAUAGCCAACAUCAACCCAUUUAUUAAAGUGAUUAAUCAUGGUCUGUUAUUAAGCAGACUCUCCAAAUUUUUUUUUCCCUCUUGGCAUUUUGUCUUAUUAAAUAGAACUUAAAAGAAGUAUCUUAAUGAUCUUUUUUUGCUGUGAAAGUAAGUAAAGAUUUACUCAUGUUGAUCUCAGUUAAGUUUCCUGGGGCCUAUACUUGACAUUUGUUUAGUGAUUUUUACUUUUUAUAAAGUGCCUUCAUGACAAUUUCAUUUUGAUUUUCACAGCUGUGAAUUUUACAUAGUGCCUAGUCAAGCUUUAAAGUCUUACUGCCCAGGUUCAUCGGAUGGAUAAGGUGGCAGAGCUAGAAUUUGAUCUGGACCAUCUGCCUCUUAGACCCUGGACUCUCUGUGCAUAACCUUCCCAUUUCUAAAUGGGUCUAGCUCCAGAAGACUUAUAUGUGCAUACGUUGUAAAUAAUGGUAUUCCAUAGCCACAUAGCUAUGGAUUGAGAAGAGUGGGAGAAUAGUGGCCAAAAUAGAAAGCCUAGGAAGCUUCAGCCAUACCCAUACCCAAACUCUUGUAGUCUACUUUGUGAAGUCACUCCAAAUAACAACAACAACGUCAUCCUCAUAUAUGGACAAGUUACAUUUUCUUCAUGUCUUGUCUAUUCAGAUAGAAAUCUCUUUCCUUGACACUCAAGGCAAAAAUAGUCCCAAAACAAGAUACGCACUAAAUAUUAUAAGAAGUAGACUGGGUUUGGAAAUACCUUGGAAUAGUUCAUGUUUCUAGUCAGACAGACUGCUGCUUUGAAUGUUUUAAUUUACAGUAGACAGGAAUUAAUUUGAUGAGAACUGCUAGAAAAGAAAAGAAUCUUAUGUCACUUGACGGCAGGUUAUUUGUACUGAUAAGGGUAUUUAGGGUUUAUUAUUAUUGUUGUUAUUGUUUUGAAUGGGUGCAUAAAUGUCCAAUGGAGUCAGGUUGGUUAGUGUCAGAGUGAGGGCAGUGUGCUAGUGUUGCCUGAAAUUAGAUGUCUUGGGUCAGGGCUCAGGUUCUGCUUGCUGUUUUAGACGACUAGGGUCACUUAUAGGUUGUUUUAGGAAGGAUACUACCACAAGUAUAUUUCCCUAUUAAUAAAUAAAUUGUUUUUUUGCCUAAUUGGUAUACCAAAAUUAAGCACAGUGAGGCAGAAAGAUUACUAGACAGGAAAUCAGGACCUCCACAACCUGUUCAGUGAUAGAUUUUAACCAAGUUUUAAUCUUGGGUUGAGCUCUGGGCCUCAGUUUCCUCACUUAUAACAUGAGUUGUGUGUACUGUAUGCAUCUAAGGUGGCUAAAACUUUAAGAGAGUCUACGUAAAUAAACUGAAAUCAUGAAAAAACACAAAUCCCAUAUUCCUUCUCUCUACUGUCAAUUCAUUAAGUUUUCUUUGAUUAUGCCAGGCUGUUUAUGACAAAAUGAUCACAAGAGAGCACGGACAUAAAACCUUCCUCUUGCCACACUGCAAAGGUCAUCACAAAGCAUAAACACCAGAAUGAGCAGUAAACUACUUAUAAAGAAAUAUCCUAAAAAGCCUAGGCGUUAGUGAGGGGUAGAAUUUAUGUGUGAACGCCUAAGUUUAUUUCCGAAACAUCGGAUAUCACCAUUUGCUUUUUUUGCUGGGUACUCCCCCAAAUCACAGAGGUCAGCAGUAGAAUGGGCUCCCCAAGAUGUGGUUUGGGACAUCACUGUAAUCGCUGAAACAAGCUAAGUGCUAAGAUACCAACUUGUCUCUACAGGAAGGUAAUUUUUUUAAAGCUCCUACUCUGAGGAGUGCCUGUUUUAUGGCUUGAAGUUAAGUUUGGCUAUUUAAACAGGUGAUUUUAAUUUAAAUAACAAAAAGAUUAAGGAAGAUAACUAAACAGAGACUCCCACCCAACCUCCUGUUUUUGCAGAUUGAGAUUUAACUAUAAUAGUGCCCAUGAUAAACCCACUUACUAUAUGACCUAGUAGCAACACAGAUGAAUGAGGAAAAACCAUUUGAUUGAAAAAUACAGCUUAUUCAUUGCUGACACUUCAAACUAAAAGUCGUAAGUUAUGGUACGUUAGGUAAAAUAUUUCAUUACUUGUAAUAAAACCAGUUUCGAUUAAGCCAAACAGGCAAAUCAUUAAAAAGAGGAAAUGUUUCAUUGAACCCAGGGGCAGGAAUACGUAUGAUCUCAAGGUGGGACCUUGUUGGUUUAUUUAAUAUGUCAACAUACUGGGUCACAGAGUGCCCAGAUUAAACAUUAUGUAUAGGUGUGUCUGAGAGGCCAUUUCUGGAUGAGAUCAGCAUUUGAAGUGGUGAACACAGUAAAGUGGUCAGCAAAGUGAAUAAGGGAGGAUGUGUCCCAUUCCUGCCUGCCUGCUUGAGAUGGGACAUCUCAUUUUAUCUUCUCUUGCCCUUGGACUGAAAUUGACACUAUCACCUCUCCUGCUCUCAGGCCUUCAAACUUGGACAGGAAUUAUACCAUCAGCUCUCCUGGGUCUCCAGCUUGCAGAUGGUAGAUCACAGGACUUCUCAGUCUUCAUAAUCACAUAAAUUUCACCAGUACAGACGACCCCUGACUGAUGAUGGUUUGACUUAUGAUUUUUUCUACCUUAGUGCAAAAGUGAUACUCAUUCAGCAGAAACUGUACUUCAAAUCUGGAAUUUUGAUCUUUUCCCAGACCAAUGAUCUCUGGUAUGGUACUCUCUGUGAUGCUGGGCAGUAGCAGCCACAAGAUUACAAGGGUGAACUACUAACACACUUACAACCAUUCUGUACCAGCACAACCAUUGUAUUUUCAACUUUCAGUACAGUAUUCAAUAAAUUCCAUGAUUUAACACUAGGAUAAGAUAGGCUGUGUGUGUUCGGUGAUUUUACCCCAUGUAGGCUAAUGGAAGUGUUCUGAGCAUGUUUAAGAUAGGCGAGGCUAAGCUGCAAUGUUUGCUGGGCUAGGUGUAUUAACUGCAUUUUUGACUUCUGAUAUUUUUAACUUAGCAUGGGUUCAUUGAAACCCCAUCCUAAGUUGAUGAAGAUCUGUACUUUGAAAUAUCUACUUUAUGUUACUUUCUUUCAUAUGCUCAGGUUCCUGAAAGUCAUAAUGUGGGAAAAAUUCAAAUAUCAGUGAUGUUCUUCUGUUUACUAUGUAUCUACUUAAAUGCUUACUUCAUGCUAGUCUGUGUGCUUAGGUUAAAUAUCCUGUCCAUAAGAAAGCUUCCAAUUUAGUUUCCUGAAUAUCUGACUUCAGGUAAGCAAGGCUGGACCCACUAGAAGGAAAUCUAGCAGAAUUUUUAUUUAAUUAUGACCUUACAACAAACCCUAUCACAAUUUCCCUGAUUCUCCUCUAGGUUUUCCUCUAGAACCUCAAAAUUUCUAGUUUCCAAUUUCCCACAUUAAAUGCCUCCCAUUAAGAAUAUAUCCAAUAUUUCAUUUUUCACAAUCACUAUCUUAAUAGCUUGUGGAAACACAUCAACCUUUCUACCAUAGAUACUCUCCACCAGCCUAGGAUCCAUUAGAAAAGAGGACAAUGGAGUUACUUUAAAUCACCAUCUAUUCCUUAACUACAUGUAUUCUUGGCAUUCAAAUCUCCCUUUAUUAUGUGAUCCUAAUGUCUUCAUUGCUAACAUGUUGUUAAGGAAUUUUGCACUGAUAUGCCUGAGGAAUUUUGGUUUGUGAUUUUCUUUUGUUUUAUAAUGUCUUUGUGGGUAUAUGGUAAUAGCAUUAUGCUGGCUAUGACUUUUGUUUUCUAUUUUGUUGGUUUCUGCUCUUUAUUAUUUUCUUUCACCAUUUUGGGUUUCUUUGCUCUAUUUUUGGAGCUUUUAUAGUGGAAAGUUAGAUCUUUUUCCUUUUCUCAUAUAAAGACUUAAAGCUAUAAAUUUCUUGCUAAGUACUUCUUUAGCUGCAUUCUGUAACUGUUGAUGUUGUAUUUUUAUUCUCAAUCACUUAAAAAUAUUUUAAAAUUUCUUGUGUGAAUUCUUCUUUGACCCAUGGUUUAUUUAGAAGUGUAUAGUUUGGACAGAGGAGACAAGAUGGUGGAGUAGAGGACGUGAACUCAUCUCUUCUUACGAAAAUACCAAAAUCACAACUAACUGCUGAGCAACCAUCGACAAAAAAGUGCUGGAACCUACUAAUAAAGAUACACUACAUUCAAAGACAAAGAAGAAGCCACAAAGAUAGAUACAGCAGGAGGGGCGCAAUACCUGCCGGGUGGGCAACCCACAAACUAGAAACUAAUUAUACCACAGAAGUUCGCCCACAGGAGUGAAAGUUCUAAGCCCCAUGUCAGACUCCCCAGCCUGGGGUUCUGGCAACAGGAGGAGGAGCCCCUGGAGCAUUUGAAGGCCAGCAGGGUUUGAAGGCCAGUGGGGUUUGACUGCAGGAAUUCCACAGGACUGGGGGAAACAGAAACUCCACUCUUGGAGAGCACACACAAGGUCUCGUGCGCACCAGGAGACACAGAAAGUAGCAGUGACCUCAUAAGACACUCAGCCAGACCUACCUGCUAAUAUUGGCGGUCUCCUGCAGAGGCUGGGGUCAGUUGUGGCUCACAAUGGGGACAAAGACACUGGCAGGCCACCAUUUUCUCCCCAAGACCUGGCCCCACGCAACAGACUGUAGGCUCCAGUGCUGGGACACCUCAGGCCAAACAACCAACAGGGUGGGAACACAGCCCCACCCAUCAGCAUACAGGCUGCUUAAAGUCUUCCUGAAUAAACAGCUGCCUGAUGAUAAAAACACCCCCUGACCCAGCCCUGCCCACCAGAGGGAUAAGACACAGCUCCACCUACCAAUGGGCAGGUACCAGUCUUCCCACUAGGAAGCCUGCACAAGGCUCUUAGACAGCCUCAUCCACUAGGGGCCAGACAGCAGAAGCAAGGAGAACUAUAACGCUGCAGCCUACAGAAGGGAAACCACAAUCACAGAAAUGUAGAAAAAAUGAGAUGGCAAAGGAAUGUGUGCCAGAUGAAGAAAUAAGAUAAAACCCCAGAAGAACAACUAAGUGAAGUGGAGAUAGGCAAUCUCCCUGAGAAAGAAUUCAGAGUAAUGAUAGCAAAGAAGAUCCAAGAUCUCAGAAAAAGCAUGGAGGCACAGAUUGAGAAGAUGUAAGAAGUGUUUAACAAAGACCCAGAAGAACUAAAGAACAAACAGAGAUGAACAAUACAAUAGCUGAAAUGAAAAAUACACUAGAAGGAGUCAACAGCAGAAUAACUGAGGCAGAAAUAUGGAUAAGGGAGCUGGAAGACAGAAUGAUGGAAAUCACUGCUGUGGAACAGAACAAAGACAAAAGAAUGAAGAGAAAUGAGGACACUAUAAGAGACCUCCGGGACAACAUUAAAUGCACCAACAUUCACAUUACAGGGGUCCCAGAAGGAGAAGAGAGAGAGAAAGGACUUGAGUAAAUACUAGAAGAGAUAAUAGCUGAAAGCUUCCCUAACAUGGGAAAGGAAACAGUCACCCAAGUCCAGGAAGUGCAGAGUCCCAGGAGGAAUAAACCCAGGGAGGAACAUGCUGAGACACAGAGUAAUCAAAUUGACAAAAAUUAAAGAUAAAGGAAAAAUGUUAAAACCAACAAGGGUAAAGCAACAAAUAACUUACAAGGGAACUCCCAUAAGAUUAUCAGCUGAUUUCUCAGCAGAAACUCUGCAGGCCAGAAGGGAGUGGCACAAAAUAUUUAAAGUGAUGAAAGAGAAGAACCUACAACCAAAAAUACUCUACCCAGCAAGGCUCUCAUUCAGAUUCAACAGAGAAAUAAAAAGCUUUACAGAAAAGGAAAAGCUAAGAGAAUUCAGCACCACCAGUUCAGCUUUGUAACAAAUGCUAAAGGAACUUCUCUAGGUGGAAAAGAAAAGACCACAACUAGAAACAAGAAAUUUAUGAAUGGAAAAGCUCACCAGUAAAGGCAAACAUACAGUAAAGGUACGAAAUCAUCUGCACACAAAUAUUAUAUAAAAACCAGCAAUUGUGAGAAGAGGAGAGCACAAAUGCAGGAUAUUGGAAAUGCAUUUCAAAUUAGAAGACCAGCAACUUAAAACAUUCUUGUUUAUAUAUAGACUGCUAUAUCAAAACCUCAUGGUAACCACAAACCUAAAGUCUGCAAUAGAUACACACACACAAAAAAGAAAAAGGAAUCCAAACACAACACUAAAGUUAGCUAAUCAAAUCACGAGAGAAAAGAACAAAAGAGGAAGGGAAGAAAAAAGACCUACAAACACAUACCCAAAACAAUUAGCAGAAAGGCAAUAAGAACAUACAUAUCAGGGACUUCCCUGGUGGUGCAGUGGUUAAGAGUCCACCUGCCAAUGCAGGGGACACUGGGUCGAGCCCUGGUCUGGGAAGAUCCCACAUGCCACGGAGCAACUAAGCCCAUGUGCCACAACUACUGAGCUUGCGCUCUAGAGCCCACGAGCCACAACUACUGAGCCCGCGUGCCACAACAACUGAAGACCGCGUGCCUAGAGCCUGUGCUUCGCAACAAAGAGAAGCCACCACAAUGAGAAGCCCGCACACUGCAACAAAGAGUAGCCCCCACUCACCGCAACUAGAGAAAGUCUGUGCACAGCAACAAAGACCCAAUGCAGCCAAAAAAUGAAUAAAUAAAUAAAUGUAUUAAAAAAAAACAUACAUAUCAAUAGUUCUCCAGGGUUGAUCACAUGCUGGGCCACAAAGUGAGCCUCAGUAAAUUUAAGAAAAUUGAAAUUACAUCAAUCAUCCUUUCUGACCAAAAUACUAUGAUAUUAGAAAACAACUACAAGGAAAAAACUGUAAAAAAACCCCACAAGCACAUGGAGGUUAAACAACAUGCUACUAAACAACCAAUGGAUCUGAAGAAAUUGAAGAAAUCAAAGAGUAAAUUAAAAAAUACCUAGAGACAAAUGAAAAUGAGAGCACAACAAUCCAAAACCUAUGGUGUGCAGCAAAAGCAGUUCUAAGAGGGAAGUGUACAGAAAUACAAUCUUACCUCAGGAAACAAGAAAAAUCUCAAAAAACCUAACUUUACACCUAAAACAACUAGAGAAAGAAGAACAAACAAAACCCAAAGUUAGUAGAAGGAACACCUCCAAACUCAUUCUAUGAGCCUACCAUCACCCUGAUAUCACAACCAGAAAAAGAUAACACAAAAAAGAAAAUUAUAGGCCAAUAUCACAGAUGAACAUAGACACAGAAAUCCUCAACAAAAUACUAGCAAACCAAAUUCCACAAUACAUUAAAAGGAUCAUACACCAUGAUCAAGUGAGAUUUACCCCAGGAAUGCAUGAAUUUUUAAAUAUCUGCAAAUGAACAUCAACAAAUUGAAGAAUAAAAACCACAUGAUCAUCUCAAUAGAUGCAGAAAAAGCUUUUGAAAAAAUUCAACACCAAUUUAUGAUAAAAACCCUCCAGAAAGUGGGCAUAGAGGGAACAUACCUCAACAUAAUAAAGGCCAUAUAUGACAAACCCACAACAAACAUCAUUCUCAAUGGUGAAAAACUGAAAGCAUUUCCUCUAAGAUUAGAAACAAGACAAGGAUGUCCACUCUCACCACUUUUAUUCAACAUAGUUUUGGAAGUCCCAGCCAUGGCAAUCAGAGAAGAAAAAGAAAUAAAAGAAAUCCAAGCUGGAAAAGAAGUUAAACUGUCACUGUUUGCAGAUGAUAUGACACUGUACAUAGAAAAUCCCAAAGAUGCUACCAGGAUACUACUAGAGCUCAUCAAUGAAUCUGGUAAAGUUGCAGGAUACCAAAUUAAUAUGCAGAAAUCUCUUGCAUUUCUAUACACUAACAAUGGAAGUUCAGAAAGAGAAAUUUAAGAAACCAUCCCAUUUACCACCACAUCAAAAGGAAUAAAACAACUAGGAAUAAACCUACCUAAGGAGGCGAGACCUGUACUCUGAAAACUAUAAGAUGCUGAUGAAAGAAAUCAAAGAUGAGACAAACAGAUUGAAAGAUAUACUGUUUUCUUUGAUUAGAAGAAUCAAUAUUGUCAAAAUGACUAUACUACCCAAAGCAAUCUACAGAUUCAAUGUAAUCCCUAUCAAAUUACCAAUGGCAUUUUUCACAGAAUUAGAACAAAAAAAUCUUAAAAUUUGUAUGGAGACACGAAAGACCCCAAAUAGACAAAGCAAUCUUGAGAAAGAAAAACAGAGCUGGAGGAAUCAGGCUCCCUGACUUUGGACUAUGCUACAAAGCUACAGUCAUCAAAACAGUAAGGUACUGGCACAGAAACAGAAAUACAGAUCAAUGGAACAGGAUAGAGAGCCCAGAAAUAAACCUGCACACCUAUGGUCAAUUAAUUUACGACAAAGGAGGCAAGACUAUACAAUGGAGAAAAGACAGUCUCUUCAAUAAAUGGUGCUGGGAAAACUGGACAGCUACACAUUAAAAAAAAUAAACUCAAAAUGAAUUAAAUACCUAAAUGAAGACCAGAUACUAUAAAACUCUUAAAGGAAAACAUAGCCAGAACACUCCCUGACAUAAAUCACAGCAAUAUCUUUUUCAAUCCAUCUCCUGGAGUAAUGGAAAUAAAAACAAAAAUAAACAAAUGGGACCUAAUUAAACUCAAAAGCUUUUGCACAGCAAGGGAAACCAUAAACACAACAAAAAGACAGCCCAUAGAAUGGGAGAAAAUAUUUGCAAACGAUGUGACCAACACUGGAUUAGUCUCCAAGAUUUACAAACGGCUCAUGUGGCUCAGUAUCAAGAAAACAAACAACCCAGUCAAUAAAUUGGCAGAAGAUCUAAAUAGACAUUUCUCCAAAGAAGACAUAGAUAUGGCCAAGAGGCACAUGAAAAAAUGCUCAAUAGUGCUAAUUAUUAGGGAAAUGCAAAUCAGACUACAAUGAGAUAUCACUUCACACCAGUCAGAAUGGCUAUCGUCAAAAAAUCUACAAACAAUAAAUGCUGGAAAGGGUGUGGAGAAAAGGGAACCCUCCUACACUGUUGGUGAGAAUGUAAAUUGGUGUAGCCAUUAUGGAGAACAGAAUGGAGGUCCCUUAAAAAACUAAAAAUAGAGCUAUCAUAUGAUCCAGCAAUCCCACUCUUGGGCAUAUAUUUGGAGAAAACCAUGGUUUGAAAGGAUACAUGCACCCCAGUGUUCACUGCAGCACUGUUUACAAUAGUCAAGACAUGGAAGCAACAUACAUAUCCAUUGACAGAUGAAUGGGUAAAUAAGAUGUGGUACAUAAAUUCAAUAGAAUAUUAUCCAGCCAUUAAAAAGAAUGCAGUAAUGCCAUUUGCAGCAACAUGGAUGGACCUGAAGAUUAUCAUACUAAGUGAAUUAAGUCAGACAGAGAAAGACAACUAUCAUAUGAUAUUGCUUAUAUGCAGAAUCUAAAAAAAACCAAAAAGAUACAAAUGAACUUAUUUACCAAACAGAAACAGACUCACAGACUUAGAGGAUGAACUUUUGGUUACGGGGUGGGGAGGUGGAGGAGGGAUAGAUUGGGAGUUUGGGAUUGACAUGUACACACUGCUGUAUUUAAAAUAGAUAACCAACAAGGACCUACUGUAUAGCACAGGGAACUCUGCUCAAUAUUCUGUAAUAACCUAAAUGGGAAAAGAAUUUGAAAAAGAAUAGAUACUUGUAUAUGUAUAACUGGAUCACUUUGCUGUACAUCUGAAACUAACACAACAUUGUUAGUCAAUGAUACUCCAAUAUAAAAUAAAAAAUAAUUUUUUUAAAUUAAAAAUUAAUUUUUAAAAAACCAUAUACUUUAAUUUACGAAUACUUGGGGUUUUGUAAAUAUGUUGUCAUUGAACUUAAAUUUAACGGUAUCAUAGUUAGAAAACAUACUGUGGUGUCAGUAUUUAAUUUUGUUUAGAUUUGUUUUGUGGCUUACCAUAUAGUGUCUAUCUUAUGAAUAUGCCGUGUGUGCUUCAAAAAGUGUAUUUUGUGUAGUUGUUGAGUACAGUGUUCUAUGGCUGUUGAUUCAUGGUGGUUAACGGAAUGGUUUAGAUCCUCUAUAUCAUUACUGGUCUUUCUGUCUAGAGUUCUAUUAAUUAUGGAAAGAAAAGAUUUUCCUAGCCUGACUCUUGGAUUAUCUAUUUCUUCAUUUAUUUCUGUCAAACAUUUCUUCAUGCAUUUUGAAAUUCUCUUAUUAGGGAAUAUAUAUUGUCUCGUCUUUCUGACAAAUUAACCAUUUAAUUGUUAAGAAAUAUCCCUCUUUUGCUUUAAUAAUACAAUCUACUUUGUCUUGAAGUCUACUUUAGUUCAUAUAGCUAUUCUAAUCUUCUUAUGCUUACAAUUUCUAUGCUAUAUUUUUCCACCCAUUUAUUUUCAACCUCCAUGUGUCGUGUUGAAAAUGCAAUCUUAUAGACAGCAUGUGGUUGGAUUUUGCAUUUUUAUCCAUUCUGAUACUCUCUUUUUGUGUGUUCAUUCUGUUAAUAUGUAAUGUAAUAUUAAUAUAAUUGGAUUUAGGUUUAUAAACUUUUAUUUAUUUUAUGUUUGUCCCCUCUGUUUAUUGUUUCUCUUUCCUCUUUCUUAUUUUUGAUACUUGGACGUUUUAAGAUUUGUUAUUUAUUUAUCACUUGGUUUUUAAGCUACAUUUCUUUGCAUUAAUGUUUUUGUGUUUUCACUAGGAUUUACAGUAUAUAUUGCUAACUCCUUAUAGUCCAUUUAGAGUUAAUAUUGUAGAACUUCUCAUAAAAAUGUAAAAGCCUUGCGAUUUUGUAGGUCCAUUUACUUCCAAUCCACACUUCAUGCAAUUGCUGUCAUAUGUAUCACAUCUACACACUCUCUAAGCUCUCAAGAUAAUGCUGUAAGUUUUGCUUAACAUAGUCAUAUGUGUUUUAAAGCAGUGAAUAUAUAGUCUUACCAUUUGCUAUGUAUUUCCUAUUUCCAAUGGUCUUCAUUCAUUACAAAAGUUUGGAAUUUCCAUCUGCUAUUUCCUUUCAGCCUGAAAAACUUAUCAGUUAUUGAAGUGUCAGUAUGCUGACAAAAAAAUUAUCUUUUAUCUGAAAAUGUCUUUAUUUACCUUCAUUUUGAAGAAUAAUUCCACUCGGUAUAUGAUGCUAUAUUGACUGUUGACUGGCCUCUAUUGUUUCUUAUGAAAUGUCAGUGAUGUAUAAACAGUAUAUUUGAUAGCUAAUUGAGUAUCAGUCACCAAGUUCAGAGAAACUACUUCAAGUCAGAAAGUAUCAGAGGAAGAGAAAGUGAUUUAAAAAAGUGAAAUGGGGGGAAGCGUCUAGAACAGAGGAGCAAAGACCUCCACAGACAUUCUUCACAUCAGAACAAUUUAACUGGUGAAAAUAAUACAUACAGAAAACAAUCAUUCCAAGUCUUCGGAAUUGUCCUAAAGAUAUAUAGAGACUGGAGAAUCAUUUAUUCAAGAAAAUUUACUGAAUCUUGGGUAAGACUAGGGAGAGUUUGUGGCAUUUGGGCCACUCUUUCCCUUCAUCUCUGUGUGCUGCAAGAGUUCUACUCCCAAUGUGUACCACCAAGAAGACAGGGGUUCCCUUUCUUGCCAGCUCCCAGCCUGGGCCUAUGGUUUCACCCCAGAAGGAGCAGGCUGCAAGCCUUUCUCAUCCUCCACCAGCUCCAUUUUAUAGAAGCUCUAAUUUCAGAGAAGCAGAGCAGGCCUGGUGUACUGGGUCUCUUUUCCCUAACUCAGCCUCCACUUGUAGGGAAAAAGCUCUCCUCCAGGUGCAGGAGGCCUGUAAUACUGGAGAAACUGGAACCCUCAUACACUCCUGGUGGGAUUUUAAAAUGGUGUAGCCACUUUUGCAAAUAUACAUGCUUAGAUAGUAGUUCCUCAAGAGGUUAAAUAGAGAGUUAUCAUAUGACUCAGCAA